RNAcentral lists this ribosomal RNA (886 nucleotides) under Chlamydodon excocellatus. RNAcentral describes it as "partial small subunit ribosomal RNA". It matches the Rfam family "Bacterial small subunit ribosomal RNA", at positions 524 to 1488 of the family's 1533-position model. The record is from RNAcentral. Lineage: Eukaryota; Ciliophora; Phyllopharyngea; Chlamydodontida; Chlamydodontidae.
UACAUGAGUGGUGAGCGUUAUUCCCUAUGGUUGGGUGUAAAAAAUCCUUAGGAGUAGACAUGAGUUGCUAGUCUACAAAAAAAAUUAUUAAUUAACUUUGUACCUUAGGUAUUUAUAGGGGUAAAAUUCUACGAAAAAUGCUAUAGGUCGGAAGGUGAAAACAUUAUAAGGAAUUAAUAAGUUGACUUAGGGAUGAAAGUAUAGGUAGUGGCGAGGAUUAGAGACCCUUUUAAUCUAUACUGUAAAUGAUGGUUGCUAGUUAUCAAAAAGCGCUAACGUUAGAGCAAUCUACCUGGGGCCUAAAACCGCAAGGUUAAAACUUAAAGAAAUUGGCGGGACUUUUAUAAUGGUGGAACAUGUGAUUUAAUGCGGUAAUCCUCGCAAAAUCUUACUAGAGUAUUUAUAUUAUACAAAUUUUUAUGAGUAAAUUUAUGUAAAUAUGCUUUGGUAUUGCAUGGCUGUCGUCAGUUCGUGCUGUGAAGUGUUGUGUUGAGUCAUCAAAACGAACGCAUCCCAAUAAUAUAUUAUUAUAAUAUAUUAUUAUUUAUGGCUGAAGUCAAGUCUUUAUGGUCUAUGUACUCUAGGCUACACACGUGUUACAAUGGUAAAAACAAUAUGAAAUGAAAGUUAAUACUUAAAUAAAUCAUAAAAAAUUACCAUGUUCGGAUUAUUAUUUUUAGUCAAUAAUAUGAAGAUGAAAUCAUAAGUAAUCACAGCAUAGGAUGAUGUGGUGAAAUAUUUUUUUAAAAGUUUGCACACACUGCCCAUCACGCUCAGAGAGUCAUGUCUAUUUAAAGAAGUAUAGGAAUAGAUUUUUUCAAGUAGUAUUCAAAAGACUAUUUCAAGGUACUUUAUAGAAUUAAAUGUGGUAAUUGGAGUGAAGUUG